Molecule: ribosomal RNA, 303 nt
Filed under: uncultured bacterium
Lineage: Bacteria
Description: partial 16S ribosomal RNA
Rfam family: Bacterial small subunit ribosomal RNA
Source: RNAcentral
AGCAGUCGCCGCGGGAAUACGAAGGGUGCAAGCGUUACUCGGAAUUACUGGGCGUAAAGCGUGCGUAGGCGGCUUUUUAAGUCGGAUGUGAAAUCCCUGAGCUUAACUUAGGAAUUGCAUUCGAUACUGGGAAGCUAGAGUAUGGGAGAGGAUGGUAGAAUUCCAGGUGUAGCGGUGAAAUGCGUAGAGAUCUGGAGGAAUACCGAUGGCGAAGGCAGCCAUCUGGCCUAAUACUGACGCUGAGGUACGAAAGCAUGGGGAGCAAACAGGAUUAGAUACCCCAGUAGUCCCUGUCUCUUAUAC